AGUGAGCGCUGGCGGUAGGCCUAACACAUGCAAGUCGAACGGCAGCUCAGUAAGAGCUUGCUCUUACGGGUGGCGAGUGGCGGACGGGUGAGGAAUACAUCGGAAUCUACUUUUUCGUGGGGGAUAACGUAGGGAAACUUACGCUAAUACCGCAUACGACCUACGGGUGAAAGCAGGGGAUCUUCGGACCUUGCGCGAUUGAAUGAGCCGAUGUCGGAUUAGCUAGUUGGCGGGGUAAAGGCCCACCAAGGCGACGAUCCGUAGCUGGUCUGAGAGGAUGAUCAGCCACACUGGAACUGAGACACGGUCCAGACUCCUACGGGAGGCAGCAGUGGGGAAUAUUGGACAAUGGGCGCAAGCCUGAUCCAGCCAUACCGCGUGGGUGAAGAAGGCCUUCGGGUUGUAAAGCCCUUUUGUUGGGAAAGAAAAGCAGCAGGUUAAUACCCCGCUGUUCUGACGGUACCCAAAGAAUAAGCACCGGCUAACUUCGUG
Molecule: ribosomal RNA, 492 nt
Filed under: uncultured bacterium
Lineage: Bacteria
Description: partial 16S ribosomal RNA
Rfam family: Bacterial small subunit ribosomal RNA
Source: RNAcentral